GCCAGCAGCCAUAUCACUCUGCAACUGAUAACGGGCAACCCACUGAAGCUCAGCAGGUGUGAGCCUGGCCAGUACCUGGAUGGGAGACCACCUGGGAAAAACUAAGGUUGCUGCUGGAA
Molecule: ribosomal RNA, 119 nt
Filed under: Lepisosteus oculatus (spotted gar)
Lineage: Eukaryota; Metazoa; Chordata; Actinopteri; Semionotiformes; Lepisosteidae
Source: RNAcentral